Molecule: unclassified non-coding RNA, 349 nt
Filed under: soil metagenome
Description: partial contains 5.8S ribosomal RNA, internal transcribed spacer 2, and large subunit ribosomal RNA
Rfam family: 5.8S ribosomal RNA (bases 1-120)
Source: RNAcentral
GAUGAAGAAAGCAGCGAAAUGCGAUACGUAAUGUGAAUUGCAGAAUUCAGUGAAUCAUCGAGUCUUUGAACGCACAUUGCGCCCCCUGGUAUUCCGGGGGGCAUGCCUGUCCGAGCGUCAUUGCUGCCCUCAAGCACGGCUUGUGUGUUGGGCCUCCGCCCCCCGGCUCCCGGGGGGCGGGCCCGAAAGGCAGCGGCGGCACCGCGUCCGGUCCUCGAGCGUAUGGGGCUUCGUCACCCGCUCCGUAGGCCCGGCCGGCGCCCGCCGGCGACCCCCCUCAAUCUUUCCAGGUUGACCUCGGAUCAGGUAGGGAUACCCGCUGAACUUAAGCAUAUCAAUAAGCGGAGGA